AGCGCCGCCAUGUUGUACGGCAGCCGCAGCGCACUGUCGGCAGGCCCGGUGCGCCUCAGCGAUCCACCGCAGCGCCACGCGGAGACGUUUUGGGAAGAGCUGUGGGAACAAACGCACGCGACAAAGGAGCUGCAGAGGGCAGAGUGCAGGAAUUUGGAGGGACAAGUCUGCAGCCACCAUGAGCACUGGAACCAGCAUGGGCUCCAAUUUGCAGAGUUGAAGUGGAAGCGGUAAAUCGUAGAUCUCAGCAGCUGAGGUUGAAAUGGAUUAUCGUGUGGACCACGGGCAGCAUUUAGACCAGAUGAUCUGAGAGAGAUACGACUGAAUCAGCCAGCAGGGGCUCUACAUGCUUGGCCUCAGCUGGAAAUUGCUUUACACAGACUUUCAACUCGGACGCUGGUGUCUGCUCAGCAACGUUGGCAAGAGGACUUGCUGUUCUCAGGAGAGUCCAUGAUGAGCAGAUCAGGACACAGCUCCUAGACCUGAGAGACCUGAUAAAGCAUCUUUCAGAAAAGGACAUAUGUGUUUUAGCACCAUUUGUAUUCUCAUACAUGUAGGCUAUGCCCAAGUGAAACCUAGGGCAUAGAUUCAAAAGGGGAAAAAAUCCAAUAAAUGGUUAUUUUGUUUGGGUGGUGCCAAACACAUGGCUUAACUGAUUUUUCACUAAAUUUGCUAAGUUAAAACAAUCAUUUUGUGAACUCUGUGGAACUCUUGCACUGUCCAGUGUGUUACCACAGCAACUGUUCAUAGGUUGAACACAGCUCAUCCUGUAUGCGUUACAGGGCAUUAUCUCAUUCCACUGUGAGCUCCUGGAGGGCAGGGCCGGUAACGUAUUUAUCUGUGUGUCUUCAGGUCUCCACACACAGUUGAUGCUCCAUGGAAGUUUGUAGAACAGAAUUGAUAGUGUAGGGAUCCACAGAGUUUCUGCUUUCCUUUCUGGAAAUUGGGUGAGUCCAAGGAGUGGAGGGGAGGAUUUAGAAACAUAAAACUAUGGAGUAGGAGGAAUCUCAAAGAUCACACAGUUCAACACCCUUAUUUUACAGAUGAGGAAAGUGAGGUCCAGAGAGGGCAGUGAUUUGGUCAAGGUCACUGAGUUGGUGGCAGAGCCAGAAUAGAGAUGACUUAGCAUUUACCAGAAGCUGCUACAGGCUGGAAAUGUGCUAGACCUGCGCUGUCCAAUAUGGUAGUAUGUUAGAGUUCUCCAGAGAAACAGAAUCUCUCUCUCUCUCUCUCUCUCUCUCUCUAUCUAUCUAUUCUGGAAGCCGGAGACCCAGCAAAGCUGGUGGUGUAAUUCCGUCCUAGUUCCAGGAUCUGACAGCCAGGGGAGCUGAUGGUGUCAAUCCCGUAAGACGUCCCAACUCAGCAGUAAAGCUGGAAAAAGGAGGCAAAUUUCUCCUUCCUCUGUCUUUUGCUCUAUUCCGGCCCUCGACAGAUUGGACGAUGUCCACCCCCACUGCACCCAGCUUAGGAGGGUAGUGUGCUUUACUGAGAGCACUGAUUCAAAUGUGAGUCUCACCCAGGCUCGCUUUCACCGACACGCCCAGAAGCAGUGCUUAAUCUAGGCACCCAGUGGCCAGUCAAGCUGACACAUAAAAUUAUCUCUUGCAGUUAGCUGCCAGCCUCGCAGGGAUGGGGAGCACUUGAAACGCGGCAAGAGAGAGGGAGAGUGGCUGCUAGAAAAUUUAAAGUGACGUGCAAGUGUGGCUUCGUUAUAUUUCUGUUGGAUAGCGUUGUGCCAGACACUCGACAUAGGUUGUUUCACCUAAUCCUACAACAGCUAUCUCCAUGUUACUCUCUCCAGUUUACAGAUGAGGAAACUAAGAAUGAGAGGAGUUAAAGUAUUGGCAGAAAGUCAAACCACAAGAAAAUGGCAGACUCAAGAUGAUACGGGUCUGGCUGACUUGGCUGUCUGUGCUCUUUCUGGGGAGUCUUCUGGCCCCAGCUUUCCCGAUACUGCCUCAGCAUCCAAAUGUACUUCAGAUAUGCAAGAACAAACUGUAGAUUGUAAUACAGAGGGUCAUCAUUCUUUCAUUUAUCUUCACUGACUACUUCAUAGGGGAAAAAUGGGAGAGUUCUCUUGGCUGACCAUUGAAAAAUUUAAAGUGGCUGACCUUCAGGUUCUUGGGUUCUGUUCUAUAUGCGUCUCCUUCUAAAAACUGAAAACCAAGCAGAUAUAAUUAAUUUAUCUCAGGUAGUUUUUUAUAUUUUUAUUUGCUUCAAUAUUCAAUGCUUUAAAAAAAAUUGUUUCUAACCCAACA
This is a long non-coding RNA of Equus quagga, 2258 nucleotides long. RefSeq lists it as uncharacterized. The record is from RefSeq and is a predicted model, not a curated record. NCBI's taxonomy places the organism in Eukaryota, Metazoa, Chordata, Mammalia, Perissodactyla, Equidae. The transcript is spliced from 3 exons.